UACGGAGGGUGCAAGCGUUAUCCGGAUUUACUGGGUUUAAAGGGUGCGUAGGCGGAUAUUUAAGUCAGAGGUGAAAUCUCCGAGCUCAACUCGGAAACUGCCUUUGAUACUAUCUAUCUUGAAUUUCGUUGAGGUUGGCGGAAUAUAUCAUGUAGCGGUGAAAUGCAUAGAUAUGAUAUAGAACACCGAUUGCGAAGGCAGCUAACUAAACGAAUAUUGACGCUGAGGCACGAAAGCGUGGGGAGCGAAC
Molecule: ribosomal RNA, 250 nt
Filed under: uncultured bacterium
Lineage: Bacteria
Description: partial 16S ribosomal RNA
Rfam family: Bacterial small subunit ribosomal RNA
Source: RNAcentral